Molecule: ribosomal RNA, 136 nt
Filed under: uncultured bacterium
Lineage: Bacteria
Description: partial 16S ribosomal RNA
Rfam family: Bacterial small subunit ribosomal RNA
Source: RNAcentral
UGGGGAAUAUUGCACAAUGGGCGAAAGCCUGAUGCAGCAACGCCGCGUGAGCGAUGAAGGCCUCGGGUCGUAAAGCUCUGUCCUCAAGGAAGAUAAUGACGGUACUUGAGGAGGAAGCCCCGGCUAACUACGUGCC